Molecule: ribosomal RNA, 442 nt
Filed under: Aira caryophyllea
Lineage: Eukaryota; Viridiplantae; Streptophyta; Magnoliopsida; Poales; Poaceae
Description: eukaryotic LSU rRNA
Rfam family: Eukaryotic large subunit ribosomal RNA (bases 302-442)
Source: RNAcentral
UGCAGAAUCCCGCGAACCAUCGAGUCUUUGAACGCAAGUUGCGCCCGAGGCCUCUCGGCCGAGGGCACGCCUGCCUGGGCGUCACGCCAAACACGCUCCCACCCUUCAUCGGGGUGCGCGACGCGGCAUGUGGCUCUCCGUCACGUAAGGGGCGGAGGGCCGAAGAUUCGGCUGCCGGCGUAUCGUGUCGGACACAGCGCGUGGUGGGCGAACUCGCUUUACUUACCGCAGUGCCUUCGACAUGUAGCCGGCGGAUUGGCCACGAAUGACCCUAUGAACGGAGCGCACGACGCUUCGACCGCGACCCCAGGUCAGGCGGGACUACCCGCUGAGUUUAAGCAUAUAAAUAAGCGGAGGAGAAGAAACUUACAAGGAUUCCCCUAGUAACGGCGAGCGAACCGGGAUCAGCCCAGCUUGAGAAUCGGGCGGCCCUGCUGUCCGA